RNAcentral lists this unclassified non-coding RNA (314 nucleotides) under plant metagenome. Its description in RNAcentral is "partial contains 5.8S ribosomal RNA, internal transcribed spacer 2, and large subunit ribosomal RNA". The stretch from base 1 to 105 matches the Rfam family "5.8S ribosomal RNA", at positions 50 to 154 of the family's 154-position model. The record is from RNAcentral.
GAAAUGCGAUAAUUAAUGUGAAUUGCAGAAUUCAGUGAAUCAUCGAGUCUUUGAACGCACAUUGCGCCCCCUGGUAUUCCGGGGGGCAUGCCUGUCCGAGCGUCAUUGCUGCCCUCAAGCACGGCUUGUGUGUUGGGCUUCCGUCCCUGGCAACGGGGACGGGCCCAAAAGGCAGUGGCGGCACCAUGUCUGGUCCUCGAGCGUAUCGGGCUUUGUCACCCGCUCCCGUAGGUCCAGCUGGAAGCUAGCCUCGCAACCAAUCUUUUUAACCAGGUUGACCUCGGAUCAGGUAGGGAUACCCGCUGAACUUAAGC